CAAAAGAGAUGAUGAAAUCAGAAAAUCUUAGGACACCUUCUGACACAGUACGAUGUUGUGCUGUGUAUGAGAAAGAUUUUCGUUUCUGAUCAUUUU
Populus trichocarpa (black cottonwood) is the source of this 96-nucleotide non-coding RNA. NCBI's taxonomy places the organism in Eukaryota, Viridiplantae, Streptophyta, Magnoliopsida, Malpighiales, Salicaceae. The record is from Rfam.